GAUUUCUGGCUUGGUGCGCGCCGUCCGCUUCCGCUAGGGAGUGUGUGCGGUUGUGCGCCUGCCAUCAUUUUAGACAUUAUGCUGUGCCCUUCACUGGGUGGCAGGUAGUGGCUGAAUCUUUUACUUUGAAAAAAUUAGAGUGUUCAAAGCAGGCUUGCGCUAUGAAUACAUUAGCAUGGAAUAAUAAUUUAGGACUCCUGUUCUAUUUUGUUGGUUUCUAGGACGGAAGUAAUGAUUGAUAGGGAUAGUUGGGGGUGCUAGUAUUCAGAGGCCAGAGGUGAAAUUCUCGGAUUCUCUGAAGACUAACUUAUGCGAAAGCAUU
This 322-nucleotide ribosomal RNA is filed under the name Eocercomonas sp. RNAcentral describes it as "SSU rRNA". The stretch from base 107 to 322 matches the Rfam family "Eukaryotic small subunit ribosomal RNA", at positions 738 to 955 of the family's 1831-position model. The record is from RNAcentral. Lineage: Eukaryota; Cercozoa; Cercomonadida; Cercomonadidae.